This 354-nucleotide transfer-messenger RNA is filed under the name bacterium. RNAcentral's name for it is "JAFDED01 sp019310535 Standard tmRNA". It matches the Rfam family "transfer-messenger RNA". From Rfam's summary of the family: Bacterial tmRNA, also known as 10Sa RNA or SsrA, is named for its dual tRNA and mRNA-like properties. Its role is to liberate the mRNA from a stalled ribosome. The record is from RNAcentral. RNAcentral also lists the same sequence under 1 other name.
GGGGGCGAUAGGCUUCGACGGAGAUAGUUUGCGUUCAGGUUGCAUGUCGAGUUUCCGGUACUCGUUAAACAACGGAACUUUAAAACAAACGCAGACACACAGUUUGCAAUGGCUGCUUAAAAGCAUGCGGCCCGUCCUACCGGUCAUUGCCCGGGUGAGCGGAUAGGGCGUCAGAGACCGGGCUCGCAUCUUUCAUUCGCCUGAGGUGAAAGGUGUUAAAACUCUCUUGGGCAUGUCUUUCCUGAAUCCAGCCUGCAGGAGAUGGGGAAGGCAAGAUUAAAAUGCAGGAUAAGCAUGUAGAUACUUGAGCGAGGGCAUCUUCGGACGCGGGUUCGAUUCCCGCCGCCUCCACCA